GAUGAACGCUGGCGGCGUGCCUAAUACAUGCAAGUCGAGCGAACGGACGAGAAGCUUGCUUCUCUGAUGUUAGCGGCGGACGGGUGAGUAACACGUGGAUAACCUACCUAUAAGACUGGGAUAACUUCGGGAAACCGUAGCUAAUACCGGAUAAUAUUUUGAACCGCAUGGUUCAAAAGUGAAAGACGGUCUUGCUGUCACUUAUAGAUGGAUCCGCGCUGCAUUAGCUAGUUGGUAAGGUAACGGCUUACCAAGGCAACGAUGCAUAGCCGACCUGAGAGGGUGAUCGGCCACACUGGAACUGAGACACGGUCCAGACUCCUAGGGGAGGCAGCAGUAGGGAAUCUUACGAAAUGGGGGAAAGCCGGACGGAGCAACGCCGCGUGAGGGAUGAAGGUCUUCGGAUGGUAAAACUCUGUUAUUAGGAAAGAACAUAUGUGUAAGUAACUGUGCACAUCUUGACGGUACCUAAGCAGAAAGCCACGGCUAACUACGU
RNAcentral lists this ribosomal RNA (496 nucleotides) under uncultured bacterium. RNAcentral describes it as "partial 16S ribosomal RNA". It matches the Rfam family "Bacterial small subunit ribosomal RNA", at positions 28 to 506 of the family's 1533-position model. The record is from RNAcentral.